Hevea brasiliensis (rubber tree) is the source of this 2322-nucleotide RNA transcript. It is a transcript of the gene named cell division control protein 48 homolog D-like, with no coding region annotated. The transcript is spliced from 2 exons. The record is from RefSeq and is a predicted model, not a curated record. Lineage: Eukaryota; Viridiplantae; Streptophyta; Magnoliopsida; Malpighiales; Euphorbiaceae.
AAAGAAAAGAAAAAAAUAGCGCCAUUCACUACCAUUUUCCUCUCAAAUCCAAAAACCCUUUUCCAUUCUGUUUGUCUCUCUUUAUCUCUCGACCAUGUUUAACCAAGCCGAAUCCUCCGACUCUCCUAAGUGCUUUCCAUUUCCCAGAUCUACAUUCACUUAUCUAAUCCCUUUGUAUUCCUCGAUUUCAAUUUCUUUUUCAGAACAACGAAUAAAUUUUGUAGCAGCUUUUCGAUUUUUGAGGAUUUAUUUGUUAAAGGAUACUUGAUUUUUCGCAGUAAGGGAACAAGGAGGGAUUUUAGUUCUGUAAUUUUGGAGCGACAGAAGGCACCCAAUUGGCUCAAUUUUUAUGGGGCUACCAAUGAUGAUAACUCAGUUGUGUCACUCCACCCCCAAACCAUGGAGAAGCUCCAACUCUUUCAGCGCGACACGAUCUUAAUUAAGGUUUUCAUUCUUUUUCACUUACAAGUUUGAAUUAUUUUUCUAAGUAGUUGUUGCUGGUUGUUGGAUAUUGAUUACGUAUCUUUAUGCUGAGUUUUAUGUUCGAUCAGGAUUGGGAUUCAGAUUUGUGUUUCAUAUCUAGAGGAUAUUGAUGUACGCAACUGUUUAGAGGGAUUUUUGAAAUCCUUCUUUUUCUUAUAUUUUCAUUGGAAAAUUUAAAAUAUUCACAGUUAUUUUCUUGAUGGUCUCAUAAUAGUUAGUGUGGGUUCCUGGCAGUUUUGAAAUAGGCAUUAUUGCUGCGAGGCUUGGGAAAUUACAUAAAUAUCAUGCAAUUCUCUGUAUUGGAGCUGUGGUAUGAUUUCUCGAUUUCAGAAUUUGGAAAAUCUAGAUGUGGCAAUAAGGUUAGCUCCUCGUCAAGUACAAGCAUUAUGGAAACCCUUAAUUCAUGUAGCUUUUAUGGUUAGUAAAUAAGGGGUGAUACUACCCACUGUGAUGCGGAUACCAAUUCAACAGCAUCUGGAGUACUUUCAACCAGUAUAAAUUCUGGUUGGUAUUAUUGGUUUGUGGUAUUUUUAUUAUUAUUUUAACAAUUUCAUUCUUUGUGCCUUUACAUGAUAUAUUAGCAUUAAAGUACAACUAUUCCAUGUCUCUCACACGUAAAUUUCAGCCAUAUUUUAGCUUAUGAUUGUCAAUUUGCUUGCUUAACCAACUUUUGCUCAUAUAUUUAGUAUAAUCAGGGGCCUCGUUAUUUGUUACAAGCAUAUUCUUGUUUACAAGCACUUUCCAGUUGGCACUAUGAUGAAGAAUGCUGCAUAAGUUAUCAUAAUUAUUUAGUCAAAAUAAUUUGAUAUAAAUUUUUUGAAAAUUAUUAAACAUAGCUUCAUAAUUACCAAGUAUCUCUUAAUUUAUCUCUAUGAGAUUGAGAUCUCUAAAUCUAAUAGGGUAUCAUUCUGCAAUAAAGAUAUUUAAGCUAAGCAGAAAAUAUUUCAUGUUUUUGGACAAUGUAACUUAUGUAAUUCCUAAGUGCCUAUACAUUAAAUAAGAAUUAUGUGGCUGUUAGUCAUUUAAUUUAAUUAAAUUUAAAUUCUCACAAGUGUCUAGAAGAAGGGGACAGAAUGGGAAGAUCACCCCUUUCAAUUUUCAUCGUCCAGUAUGCUACACCAAACACUACGUUCAUUUGUUUGGCAUGGUAAUGGGUAUCGAAGAAAAUAUGAAAUGCAGGACUAAACAUUGUCCAGCAUGUUAUAUUGGUUCUCUUGUUUCGAUUAGAUCAUUUAAAAUUGGAUUCUCAUGUCUAAUUUAAAUCCUUAGUUUGAAUCAGAUGUUAUGUAUAAUGGACAUGGCUUCCCUGUCCAUCUGCAGUUGUGAUUAUGGAUGUUAUGAUUUGUCUGUCAAAUUUGGCUAUUGUUUGCUCAAGCUAUUUCUUAAUUAGAUGAUGACUAUUGAGGUUUAAUUUUGUUUAUUUCAAGAGGUACUUGGUUGAUGUUAUCGAUCCUGAUAAUCUGAGCAUCUCAAAAGUAAACUUUAUGAUUUGUUAAGCAAAACAUCAUUGAUUGGGAUCCCAUAGCUCUGUCAAAGCAGGCUUUGACUGAUGAAAUGGUUUAAAGUCAGUUGUUGACAGAGAAGUUUACUGCUUCAUGAUCUCUUGCAAGAACUCAACCAGCAUAGAUUCUGUUAUUGAUUGGCUUGUAAAGCACUUAAAGUCGAAGAGCUAAGUUGGUUCCCUAUGUAAGAAAGUUCCAUAUGUAGUCAUUACCUGUAUAUAUCUAGUUAGUUCCCUUCAAAUUUGUUUCUUAUAUCCCUGACUGACUAUGUGGUUUUUAAAGCUUUUGCUUUGGGGAUAUUACACUCAAUAAUGGGAGAAUUUAUACUAGAGAACCA